Molecule: long non-coding RNA, 268 nt
Filed under: Physcomitrium patens
Lineage: Eukaryota; Viridiplantae; Streptophyta; Bryopsida; Funariales; Funariaceae
Description: long non-coding RNA (PPAT_LNC007062)
Source: RNAcentral
AAAAACUAACUAAAUCUUAAAUCCUAAAUAAAUCCUAAACAAACCUUAAAAAAAAUCUUAAUCCCUAAAUCAAUUCCUAAUAAAAUCCUAACCAAAUCUUAAACCCUAAACCAAAUCCUAAUCAAAUCCUAAAUCCUAAACCAAAUAUUAAAUACUAAAUCAAAUUCUAACCAAAUCCUAAACUCUAAAUCAAAUCAUAACUAAAUCUUAAAUCCUAAAUCAAAUCCUAACUAAAUUUUAACCCUAAAUCAAAUCCUAACCAAACCUU